UACGUAGGAUGCGAGCGUUGUCCGGAAUCACUGGGUGUAAAGGGAGCGCAGGCGGGUUGGUAAGUCAGUGGUGAAAUUCUCAGGCUUAACCUGGGGACUGCCACUGAUACUGCCGAUCUUGAGUGCAGAAGAGGUUGAUGGAAUUCUUGGUGUAGCGGUGAAAUGCGUAGAUAUCAAGAAGAACACCGAUGGCGAAGGCAUUCAACUGGUCUGUUACUGACGCUCAUGCUCGAAAGCGUGGGGAUCAAACAGG
RNAcentral lists this ribosomal RNA (253 nucleotides) under uncultured bacterium. RNAcentral's name for it is "partial 16S ribosomal RNA". It matches the Rfam family "Bacterial small subunit ribosomal RNA", at positions 524 to 776 of the family's 1533-position model. The record is from RNAcentral.